This 253-nucleotide ribosomal RNA is filed under the name uncultured bacterium. RNAcentral describes it as "partial 16S ribosomal RNA". It matches the Rfam family "Bacterial small subunit ribosomal RNA", at positions 524 to 776 of the family's 1533-position model. The record is from RNAcentral.
UACAGAGGGGGCAAGCGUUGUUCGGAAUUACUGGGCGUAAAGCGCACGUAGGCGGCUUUGUAAGUUAGAGGUGAAAGCCCGGGGCUCAACUCCGGAACUGCCUUUAAGACUGCAUCGCUUGAAUCCAGGAGAGGUGAGUGGAAUUCCGAGUGUAGAGGUGAAAUUCGUAGAUAUUCGGAAGAACACCAGUGGCGAAGGCGGCUCACUGGACUGGUAUUGACGCUGAGGUGCGAAAGCGUGGGGAGCAAACAGG